UACGUAGGGGGCGAGCGUUGUCCGGAUUUAUUGGGCGUAAAGAGCGUGUAGGCGGCCAGGUAGGUCUGCUGUGAAAACUCGAGGCUCAACCUCGAGACGUCGGCGGAAACCAUCUGGCUAGAGUCCGGAAGAGGUGAGUGGAAUUCCUGGUGUAGCGGUGAAAUGCGCAGAUAUCAGGAAGAACACCCGUGGCGAAGGCGGCUCUCUGGGACGGUACUGACGCUGAGACGCGAAAGCGUGGGGAGCGAACAGG
Molecule: ribosomal RNA, 253 nt
Filed under: uncultured bacterium
Lineage: Bacteria
Description: partial 16S ribosomal RNA
Rfam family: Bacterial small subunit ribosomal RNA
Source: RNAcentral